UUUUGACUGAGAAAAAAAGCACAAAGCCUUCGUCUGACACAUUUUGCUAGAUUGGGUUGUUCUUGAUUAUGGCUGUAAGGGCUACAAGGCGAUUAUUGAGAGAUGUUUUGUACAAAAGGUUAAUUUCAAGUCCUGUUGGAGGUGUUAGACACUGUUCUUCUGUUGCAGAAGCUCCUCCUAAAAUCCCUCACUUCUCCAGAAAAGGAAGGCUUUUGACGGGACUCACCAUAGGAUUCGUCAUUGCUGGAGGAGCUUACGUAAGUACUGUGGAUGAAGCAACUUUCUGUGGUUGGCUAUUCAAUGCAACAAAACUAGUGAAUCCAUUUUUUUGCCCUCCUAGAUGCUGAGGUUGCUCAUAG
This 359-nucleotide unclassified non-coding RNA is filed under the name Hevea brasiliensis (rubber tree). The record is from RNAcentral. Lineage: Eukaryota; Viridiplantae; Streptophyta; Magnoliopsida; Malpighiales; Euphorbiaceae.